This 259-nucleotide small RNA is filed under the name Pongo abelii (Sumatran orangutan). Its description in RNAcentral is "processed transcript". The record is from RNAcentral. Lineage: Eukaryota; Metazoa; Chordata; Mammalia; Primates; Hominidae.
CCACUGUGUGUUGAUCAUAAAGGCUCAAGAAAGAUCACUGAGUUCAAAGCAGUGAUGUUUGGGUAAAGCAGUGAUGUUUGGGUAAGGCAGUGGAUGAGGUUAAGGGUUCCUGGGGUGGUUUAUUUGGAUUUGAACGUCUAUGACACUCUUCCGAGCUGACACAGUGAAGAACAUGGAAGGAGAACUCACCCAGUCUGCCAGGGUCACAGAUGAUCAUACUCAAGAUCUUCCUGGGGAGUCAACGGCAAAUUUCACUGGG